This 450-nucleotide ribosomal RNA is filed under the name uncultured bacterium. RNAcentral's name for it is "bacterial SSU rRNA". It matches the Rfam family "Bacterial small subunit ribosomal RNA", at positions 354 to 796 of the family's 1533-position model. The record is from RNAcentral.
GUAGGGAAUUUUUCACAAUGGGCGCAAGCCUUAUGAAGCAAUGCCGCGUGAACGAUGAAGGUCUUAUAGAUUGUAAAGUUCUUUUAUAUGGGAAGAAACGCUAAAAUAGGAAAUGAUUUUAGUUUGACUGUACCAUUUGAAUAAGUAUCGGCUAACUAUGUGCCAGCAGCCGCGGUAAUACAUAGGAUGCAAGCGUUAUCCGGAUUUACUGGGCGUAAAACGAGCGCAGGCGGGUUUGUAAGUUUGGUAUUAAAUCUAGAUGCUUAACGUCUAGCUGUAUCAAAAACUGUAAACCUAGAGUGUAGUAGGGAGUUGGGGAACUCCAUGUGGAGCGGUAAAAUGCGUAGAUAUAUGGAAGAACACCGGUGGCGAAGGCGCCAACUUGGACUAUCACUGACGCUUAGGCUCGAAAGUGUGGGGAGCAAAUAGGAUUAGAUACCCUAGUAGUCC